GACGAACGCUGGCGGCGUGCUUUACACAUGCAAGUCGAACGGAAAGGCCUGCUUUCCCUUGUGGAUUGCGGGUACUCUAGUGGCGAACGGGUGAGUAACACGUGAGUGAUCUGCCCCCAAAUCGGGUAUAAGCCUGGGAAACUGGGUCUAAUUCUCGAUAGGACUGCAGGGUGGUGCCUGUGGUGGAAAAUGAUUUUCUAGUGGUUGGGGAUGAGCUCGCGGCCUAUCAGCUUGUUGGUGGGGUAAUGGCCUACCAAGGCGGCGACGGGUAGCCGGCCUGAGAGGGUGGACGGCCACAUUGGGACUGAGAUACGGCCCAGACUCCUACGGGAGGCAGCAGUGGGGAAUAAUGCACAAUGGGCGGAAGCCUGAUGCAGCGACGCCGCGUGGGGGAUGACGGCCUUCGGGUUGUAAACUCCUUUCGACCGCGAGGAAGCCACCUGGUUGGAAGGGUGGUGACGGUAGUGGUAGAAGAAGCACCGGCUAACUACGUG
This 494-nucleotide ribosomal RNA is filed under the name uncultured bacterium. RNAcentral describes it as "partial 16S ribosomal RNA". It matches the Rfam family "Bacterial small subunit ribosomal RNA", at positions 28 to 507 of the family's 1533-position model. The record is from RNAcentral.